GCUGAAUACCACUGAAUGAACAAGUGCUGACGACAGAAAGAUGAAUAAGAUGCUGACUCUGUCCUCGAGGUACAUACAAUCCAGUGGAGACACACAGUCUUGUGCAUGAAUAAGAACAACAUGGCAAUAAUGAGCAACAGUGCCUUUGUGGGGCAAAGUCAUGUGGUGCCACUUCCAUCUGUUUUAUUAACAAACAGAACAUGGUCUCUUAAAAGAGGCUUUUCUGGAUGUGCUUUUUGUUUUUUUAAGUGCUGAAAGGUAUGUACUACAUUCCAGAAGAUAAAUAUGCCCCUAGUUUGGCUCUCCCAGAGGAAGUGUGAGCAUUCUAAG
Molecule: long non-coding RNA, 330 nt
Filed under: Homo sapiens (human)
Lineage: Eukaryota; Metazoa; Chordata; Mammalia; Primates; Hominidae
Description: HSALNT0315704
Source: RNAcentral